CAGUCGAGAAUAAUUCACAAUGGGGGCAACCCUGAUGGUGCAACGCCGCGUGGAGGAUGACGGUCUUCGGAUUGUAAACUCCUGUCAUCCGGGAGUAAGACCUGGCGGUUAACAGCCGACAGGGUUGAUAGUACCGGAAGAGGAAGGGACGGCUAACUUCGUGCCAGCAGCCGCGGUAAUACGAAGGUCCCGAGCGUUGUUCGGAAUCACUGGGCGUAAAGGGAGCGUAGGCGGCGCGGUAAGUCAGAUGUGAAAUCCCGGGGCUCAACCCCGGAACUGCAUCCGAUACUGCCGUGCUAGAGGAUUGGAGAGGUAGCUGGAAUUCUUGGUGUAGCAGUGAAAUGCGUGGAUAUCAAGAGGAACACUCGUGGCGAAAGCGAGCUACUGGACAACUCCUGACGCUGAGGCUCGAAGGCCAGGGUAGCGAAAGGGAUUAGAUACCCCUGUAGUCCUGGCAGUAAACGGUGCACGCUUGGUGUGAGGGGAAUCGACCCCCCUUGUGCCGGAGCUAACGCGUUAAGCGUGCCGCCUGGGAAGUACGGUCGCAAGACUAAAACUCAAAGAAAUUGACGGGGACCCGCACAAGCGGUGGAGUAUGUGGCUUAAUUCGAUGCAACGCGAAGAACCUUACCUGGGCUUGACAUGGAUUUCUAAGCACGUGAAAGCGUGUGACCCUUCGGGGAACUUCCACAGGUGCUGCAUGGCCGUCGUCAGCUCGUGUCGUGAGAUGUUGGGUUAAGUCCCGCAACGAGCGCAACCCUUGUGACUAGUUGCCAGCACGUAAUGGUGGGAACUCUAGUCAGACUGCCCAGAUCAACUGGGAGGAAGGUGGGGACGACGUCAGGUCAGUAUGGCCCUUACGCCUUGGGCUGCACACGUACUACAAUGCCCAGCACAAUGAGAACCGAUACCGCGAGGUGGAGGAAAUCUAUAAAACUGGGCCCAGUUCGGAUUGGAGGCUGCAACUCGCCUCCAUGGAGUUGGAAUCGCUAGUAAUGGCGCAUCAUCUACGGCGCCGUGAUAC
RNAcentral lists this ribosomal RNA (1024 nucleotides) under uncultured Verrucomicrobiota bacterium. RNAcentral's name for it is "bacterial SSU rRNA". It matches the Rfam family "Bacterial small subunit ribosomal RNA", at positions 352 to 1369 of the family's 1533-position model. The record is from RNAcentral. Lineage: Bacteria; Pseudomonadati; Verrucomicrobiota.